CGAAGGGAGAGGGUUUAAUCUAAACGGAGUGCAUUAAAGAAAAUUGUUAAUACGCAAACUAUAUUUUACCAGAGGAAAUAUCGAUCCGGUGAGAGAACCACCAUUGGAAAAAAUACAUAAGAAAAUCCUCCCGUUAUAAGAAAUCAGCAACCCGAAUAUGAAUGUCCACUUCAACACGUGAGUGCUCUAAUUUCAUUGAGAUCUAAAAACUUAUCAGCCACAUCGCCAUCUAAAGCAGGACUUGACCACCCGAAUCACACUUGUAUCCCAAACAUACGAGUACACAUAUGUACGUUCGUACACGCAAUGGACGACGACGAGAGACCCUGAUUAAAUACAUAUGUAUGUCGCCACCUCAAAAUUCCAUAAGUAACCAUACCUCAACAAAAUCCAGACACAUUGAUUCAUAGGUACGCAUAUUUUGUAAGAUUCAGAUGUCAACGAAAUCCAUGCAACGUGACUUUAAACUUUUGGGUCAUUCCUAAUUCAGUUCAGGGAUUUUAUCCCAAUCUCAUUUCUUUAGCUUCCACUUAACACUGUGCAUUGCAAUUUUUUGAAUUUUACUAUAGCUCAUACUUUACUAAAAAUUCUGUUGUUUUAUGAAGAGACACUUAUCGUAACAUAAUAUCUUACUUUUGAGACAUUUCGAACCGGUCAGGUACAUAAUUACACCAAUUAUUGUAUGCACAAUCGAAUGUGUUUCACGUUUUAAAAUGGGAUCACCGUGGUUAAUUGAGGAAUGUUAAACUACCUACACUCUUAGCAACUUGGUAACAAAACCAAGAAUUUCGUUAACACCAACCGUCGGUGUCAACCUCAAUUCCACUAAACAGUGUCAAACCGUUGUGUAAAAAUGACACUGAGCAAAAACAACGCGUCGACACGCUACUGGUAUCAGCGAUAUUCCUGCAAUAGUGUCGAAUUGACACGGUGCGAUGUUACCGCAGUAAGCAAGACUUCGACUCAACACAAAAUUGUGUCAGUCUCUUCCUCGUGUUGGCAUGGUUCUGCUUGGCGGCCGUUUUUCGUCAUCCACAAAAACGUCAACAAAAUGGAUAAAUUAAUUAUUUUGUUCAAUAGAUUUCGAGGGAAAAAUUUGUUUUUAUAUAUUUAUGGACUACUUCCAAUUUCGUGACUCAGUACAGCUAAAAUUCGACGCUGGACACAACGUGGGAGCCAAAAGUGACGAAUAAGGAUUUGUCCAACCGGCAACCUAUUUAAUUAUUAUUAAAUAUCUUGUUAUUAGUUCAUUUAACUGAAAGAUUUACUCAUAUUUUAGAUCAUCACCGUGCUAAAAACAUAUAAGCUUUUUCUGUAAAAGUGCAUAAGGUAUGAAGCAAAAAUUACUAUUUGAUUUGUGCGAGU
Molecule: long non-coding RNA, 1365 nt
Organism: Folsomia candida
Lineage: Eukaryota; Metazoa; Arthropoda; Collembola; Entomobryomorpha; Isotomidae
Exons: 4
Source: RefSeq, a predicted model, not a curated record